This 524-nucleotide unclassified non-coding RNA is filed under the name uncultured Glomeromycotina. RNAcentral describes it as "SSU rRNA". It matches the Rfam family "Eukaryotic small subunit ribosomal RNA", at positions 571 to 1092 of the family's 1831-position model. The record is from RNAcentral. Lineage: Eukaryota; Fungi; Glomeromycota.
CAGCCCGGUAAUUCCAGCUCCAAUAGCGUAUAUUAAAGUUGUUGCAGUUAAAAAGCUCGUAGUUGAAUUUCGGGAUUGACACAUCGGUCGUGCCUUAAGGGGUAUGAACUGGUGUAGUCAAUUUCUCACCUUCUGGAGAACCGCAAUGCCCUUAAUUGGGUGUCGCGGGGAACCAGGACCUUUACUUUGAAAAAAUUAGAGUGUUUAAAGCAGGCAUUUUGCUUGAAUACAUUAGCAUGGACUAAUAAAAUAGGACGGAUGAUUGUAUUUUGUUGGUUUUUAGGACCACCGUAAUGAUUAAUAGGGAUAGUUGGGGGGAUUAGUAUUCAAUUGUCAGAGGUGAAAUUCUUUGAUUUAUUGAAGACUAACUACUGCGAAAGCAUUUGCCAAGGAUGUUUUCAUUAAUCAAGAACGAAAGUUAGGGGAUCGAAGACGAUCAGAUACCGUCGUAGUCUUAACCAUAAACUAUGCCGACUAGGAAUCAGACGAUGUUAAUUUUUUAAUGACUCGUUUGGCACCUUACG